UGGCUGUGAUGAAUUUGUGUCACAGGG
Molecule: microRNA, 27 nt
Filed under: Monodelphis domestica (gray short-tailed opossum)
Lineage: Eukaryota; Metazoa; Chordata; Mammalia; Didelphimorphia; Didelphidae
Description: mdo-miR-7334-5p
Source: miRBase by way of RNAcentral